AUUGAACGCUGGCGGCAGGCUUAACACAUGCAAGUCGAGCGGUAGCACAGGGGAGCUUGCUCCCUGGGUGACGAGCGGCGGACGGGUGAGUAAUGUCUGGGAAACUGCCUGAUGGAGGGGGAUAACUACUGGAAACGGUAGCUAAUACCGCAUAACGUCGCAAGACCAAAGAGGGGGACCUUCGGGCCUCUUGCCAUCAGAUGUGCCCAGAUGGGAUUAGCUAGUAGGUGGGGUAAUGGCUCACCUAGGCGACGAUCCCUAGCUGGUCUGAGAGGAUGACCAGCCACACUGGAACUGAGACACGGUCCAGACUCCUACGGGAGGCAGCAGUGGGGAAUAUUGCACAAUGGGCGCAAGCCUGAUGCGGCCAUGCCGCGUGUGUGAAGAAGGCCUUCGGGUUGUAAAGCACUUUCAGCGAGGAGGAAGGUGGUGAACUUAAUACGUUCAUCAAUUGACGUUACUCGCAGAAGAAGCACCGGCUAACUCCGUG
This 490-nucleotide ribosomal RNA is filed under the name uncultured bacterium. RNAcentral describes it as "partial 16S ribosomal RNA". It matches the Rfam family "Bacterial small subunit ribosomal RNA", at positions 30 to 507 of the family's 1533-position model. The record is from RNAcentral.